RNAcentral lists this ribosomal RNA (535 nucleotides) under uncultured bacterium. RNAcentral's name for it is "bacterial SSU rRNA". It matches the Rfam family "Bacterial small subunit ribosomal RNA", at positions 470 to 1017 of the family's 1533-position model. The record is from RNAcentral.
UGACGGUAUCAUAUGAAUAAGCACCGGCUAACUCCGUGCCAGCAGCCGCGGUAAUACGGGGGGUGCAAGCGUUACUCGGAAUCACUGGGCGUAAAGAGCAUGUAGGCGGGUGAAUAAGUUGGAAGUGAAAUCCUAUAGCUUAACUAUAGAACUGCUUCCAAAACUGUUCACCUAGAGUAUGGGAGAGGUAGAUGGAAUUUCUGGUGUAGGGGUAAAAUCCGUAGAGAUCAGAAGGAAUACCGAUUGCGAAGGCGAUCUACUGGAACAUUACUGACGCUCAGAUGCGAAAGCGUGGGGAGCCAACAGGAUUAGAUACCCUGGUAGUCCACGCCCUAAACGAUGUACACUAGUUGUUGCUAUACUAGAUAUGGCAGUAAUGCAGUUAACACUUUAAGUGUACCGCCUGGGGAGUACGGUCGCAAGAAUUAAACUCAAGGGAUAGACGGAGACCGCACAGCGGUGGACAUGUGGUUAAUUCACGAUCGCGAAAACCUUCCUGGCUUGAAUAGUAGGAUCUUUAGAGAUAGAGAGGCUA